AAGGGUAUAGCUUAAGUGGCAGAGUGCAUGCUUAGCAUGCACGAAGUCCUGGGUUCAAUCCCCAGUACCUCCU
Molecule: transfer RNA, 73 nt
Organism: Camelus ferus (Wild Bactrian camel)
Lineage: Eukaryota; Metazoa; Chordata; Mammalia; Artiodactyla; Camelidae
Rfam family: tRNA
About the family: Transfer RNA (tRNA) molecules are approximately 80 nucleotides in length. Their secondary structure includes four short double-helical elements and three loops (D, anti-codon, and T loops).
Source: Rfam